GCCAAGGUCUAAAACACGUACUUCAAAAACUCAUGAUGCUUCUCUUGCUAUAAAUUGAGAAAUCCUUCCUUGUUCUGAUAUACUUAGUGGUGAAGCUUCAAAAUUCAGAAGUGGUAAAUCAUUUUCUUUUGUAUUUGCAGUGGGCAAACAGGUAUGGACAUUCUACUUCACAAGCCCUUUUAUAGUGAACUUCACUAUCUGUGGGAAGACAGCCAUCCCUCCUGGCCCAGCAACAACUUCUGGAUCUUCAAAAAGAACUGUAGUUCCCUCCUGACAUCUGCAACAUACCCAUUACUGUGCAAGACCCUCCAUCUGGAACACUGACAGAGUGAUGUGACGUGAUCCUGUUGGAAGAAGCAAUGUCUGGUAUACAAAGAGGAAGAAAAGAAGACCCUACAGGGUGCAGCAAGAGCUAGACAGGAGUGUGAGAUCAGCAGUUUCCUUGUCUUGUCUCCAGAUUGGUACUCUCAAAGUAAUAUCCUGCUUCUUCUCAGAACCUCUCUCCCUCAGGCAGCUAGAUAGCCAGAAGUCU
Long non-coding RNA from Eublepharis macularius, 532 nucleotides. RefSeq lists it as uncharacterized. The transcript has 3 exons. The record is from RefSeq and is a predicted model, not a curated record. Lineage: Eukaryota; Metazoa; Chordata; Lepidosauria; Squamata; Eublepharidae.